UCAGAUUGAGUGUUAGUGAGAAACAGCUGCAAGAACUGAACACAGAAAACACAGUUCAGUCUGUUCAACUUUCUUUGAUUGAAUCCAGACUGACUGACAUCAACAACACUACUGCGGCUUUGGAGGUCAGACUAAGAUCCACCGAGACACAUCUUGAACAACUGGAGUAUCACAC
Xiphias gladius (swordfish) is the source of this 175-nucleotide long non-coding RNA. RefSeq lists it as uncharacterized. The transcript has 3 exons. NCBI's taxonomy places the organism in Eukaryota, Metazoa, Chordata, Actinopteri, Istiophoriformes, Xiphiidae. The record is from RefSeq and is a predicted model, not a curated record.